RNAcentral lists this ribosomal RNA (274 nucleotides) under uncultured bacterium. RNAcentral describes it as "partial 16S ribosomal RNA". It matches the Rfam family "Bacterial small subunit ribosomal RNA", at positions 523 to 796 of the family's 1533-position model. The record is from RNAcentral.
AUACGGAGGGUGCAAGCGUUGUUCGGAAUCACUGGGCGUAAAGGGCGCGCAGGCGGUUUGGUAAGUCAGAUGUGAAAGCCCACGGCUCAACCGUGGAAGUGCAUUUGAAACUGCCAGACUUGAGUACCAGAGGGGAAAGUGGAAUUCCCGGUAUAGAGGUGAAAUUCGUAGAUAUCGGGAGGAAUACCGGUGGCGAAGGCGACUUUCUGGCUGGAUACUGACGCUGAGGCGCGAAAGCGUGGGGAGCAAACAGGAUUAGAUACCCUAGUAGUCC